GAUGAAGAACGCAGUGAAACGCGAUAUGUAAUGUGAAUUGCAGAAUUCAGUGAAUCAUCGAAUCUUUGAACGCACAUGGCGCCUUCCAGUAUCCUGGGAGGCAUGCCUGUCCGAGCGUCAUUUGCAACCCUCAAGCCCGGCUUGUGUGAUGGGUGCCGUCCCCUACGGGACGCGCCCCGAAGGCAAUGGCGGCGUCGCGGUUAUCCGAUCAGCCAAAGUGUAUGGGGCUUUGUCACUCACUUUACGGCCCGGACCGGCGCCAGUCCGAAUCAAUCUUUUUUCUAAAGUUGACCUCGGAUCAGGUAGGGAUACCCGCUGAACUUAAGCAUAUCAAUAAGCGGAGGA
Molecule: unclassified non-coding RNA, 345 nt
Filed under: soil metagenome
Description: partial contains 5.8S ribosomal RNA, internal transcribed spacer 2, and large subunit ribosomal RNA
Rfam family: 5.8S ribosomal RNA (bases 1-120)
Source: RNAcentral